Molecule: ribosomal RNA, 619 nt
Filed under: uncultured marine eukaryote
Lineage: Eukaryota
Description: SSU rRNA
Rfam family: Eukaryotic small subunit ribosomal RNA
Source: RNAcentral
UUAAAAAGCUCGUAGUCGGAUUUUGGCUGAGAACGGUCGGUCCGCCGUUAGGUGUGCACUGACUGGUCUCAGCUUCCUGGUGAGGAGGUGUGCUUCAUCGCCACUUAGUCACCGUGGUUACUUUGAAAAAAUUAGAGUGUUCAAAGCGGGCUUACGCUUGAAUAUAUUAGCAUGGAAUAACACCAUAGGACUCCUGUCCUAUUUCGUUGGUCUCGGGACGGGAGUAAUGAUUAAGAGGAACAGUUGGGGGCAUUCGUAUUUCAUUGUCAGAGGUGAAAUUCUUGGAUUUAUGAAAGACGAACUUCUGCGAAAGCAUUUGCCAAGGAUGUUUUCAUUGAUCAAGAACGAAAGUUGGGGGCUCGAAGAUGAUUAGAUACCAUCCUAGUCUCAACCAUAAACGAUGCCGACUAGGGAUUGGCGGAUGUUAAUUGAUGACUUCGCCAGCACCUUAUGAGAAAUCAAAGUUUUUGGGUUCCGGGGGGAGUAUGGUCGCAAGGCUGAAACUUAAAGGAAUUGACGGAAGGGCACCACCAGGCGUGGAGCCUGCGGCUUAAUUUGACUCAACACGGGGAAACUUACCAGGUCCAGACAUAGUAAGGAUUGACAGAUUGAGAGCUCU